UACAGAGGUCUCAAGCGUUGUUCGGAUUCAUUGGGCGUAAAGGGUGCGUAGGUGGCGCCGUAAGUCGGAUGUGAAAUUUCGGAGCUUAACUCCGAAACUGCAUUCGAUACUGCGGUGCUUGAGGACUGGAGAGGAGACUGGAAUUCAUGGUGUAGCAGUGAAAUGCGUAGAGAUCAUGAGGAAGACCAGUGGCGAAGGCGGGUCUCUGGACAGUUCCUGACGCUGAGGCACGAAGGUCAGGGGAGCAAACGGG
Molecule: ribosomal RNA, 253 nt
Filed under: uncultured bacterium
Lineage: Bacteria
Description: partial 16S ribosomal RNA
Rfam family: Bacterial small subunit ribosomal RNA
Source: RNAcentral